GUCGAAUGACUUGGAAAAGUCAGUCAAAGAGGGUAAAAACCCCGUAGACGAAAUGUGGAAGACACCUAGGAGGAUCCUGAGUACGGCGGAACACGAGAAAUUCCGUCGGAAUCCGGGAGGACCAUCUCCCAAGGCUAAAUACUCCCUAGUGACCGAUAGUGAACCAGUACCGUGAGGGAAAGGUGAAAAGCACCCCGGAAGGGGAGUGAAAUAGAACCUGAAACCGUGUGCCUACAACAAGUCAAAGCCCGUUAAUGGGUGAUGGCGUGCCUUUUGUAGAAUGAACCGGCGAGUUACGAUUGCAUGCGAGGUUAAGUUGAAGAGACGGAGCCGCAGCGAAAGCGAGUCUGAAUAGGGCGUUUGAGUAUGUAGUCGUAGACCCGAAACCAUGUGAUCUACCCAUGUCCAGGUUGAAGGUGCGGUAAAACGCACUGGAGGACCGAACCCACGUACGUUGAAAAGUGCGGGGAUGAGGUGUGGGUAGCGGAGAAAUUCCAAACGAACUUGGAGAUAGCUGGUUCUCUCCGAAAUAGCUUUAGGGCUAGCCUCGGAAUUGAGAAUGAUGGAGGUAGAGCACUGUUUGGACUAGGGGCCCAUCUCGGGUUACCGAAUUCAGAUAAACUCCGAAUGCCAUUCAUUCAUAUCCGGGAGUCAGACUGUGAGUGAUAAGAUCCAUAGUCGAAAGGGAAACAGCCCAGACCACCAGCUAAGGUCCCAAAAUAUAUGUUAAGUGGAAAAGGAUGUGGGGUUGCACAGACAACUAGGAUGUUGGCUUAGAAGCAGCCACCAUUUAAAGAGUGCGUAAUAGCUCACUAGUCGAGUGACCCUGCGCCGAAAAUGUACCGGGGCUAAACAUAUUACCGAAGCUGUGGAGUACACCUUUAGGUGUAUUGGUAGGAGAGCGUUCUAAGGGCGUCGAAGGCAGAUCGUGAGGACUGCUGGAGCGCUUAGAAGUGAGAAUGCCGGUAUGAGUAGCGAAAGACAGGUGAGAAUCCUGUCCACCGAAUGACUAAGGUUUCCUGGGGAAGGCUCGUCCGCCCAGGGUUAGUCGGGACCUAAGCCGAGGCCGAUAGGCGUAGGCGAUGGAUAACAGGUUGAUAUUCCUGUACCCGUUGUUUUUGUUUGAGCAAUGGAGGGACGCAGGAGGCUAAGGAAUGCAGACGAUCGGAAAUGUCUGUCCAAGCAGUAAGUCUGAAGAGGAGUCAAAUGCUUCUUUUCUUAAGGACAAGCUGUGAUGGGGAGGGAAAUAAUAGUACCGAAGUUCCUGAUGUCACACUGCCGAGAAAAGCUUCUAGUGAGAAAACAGCGGCCCGUACCGCAAACCGACACAGGUAGUCGAGGAGAGAAUCCUAAGGUGAGCGAGAGAACUCUCGUUAAGGAACUCGGCAAAAUGACCCCGUAACUUCGGGAGAAGGGGUGCUGAUCAUACGAUCAGCCGCAGUGAAUAGGCCCAAGCGACUGUUUAUCAAAAACACAGGUCUCUGCAAAAUCGUAAGAUGAAGUAUAGGGGCUGACGCCUGCCCGGUGCUGGAAGGUUAAGAGGAGUGCUUAGCGCAAGCGAAGGUACGAAUUGAAGCCCCAGUAAACGGCGGCCGUAACUAUAACGGUCCUAAGGUAGCGAAAUUCCUUGUCGGGUAAGUUCCGACCCGCACGAAAGGCGUAACGAUUUGGGCACUGUCUCAACGAGAGACUCGGUGAAAUUUUAGUACCUGUGAAGAUGCAGGUUACCCGCGACAGGACGGAAAGACCCCAUGGAGCUUUACUGUAGUUUGAUAUUGAGUGUCUGUACCGCAUGUACAGGAUAGGUAGGAGCCGUAGAAAUCGGAACGCUAGUUUCGAUGGAGGCGCUGGUGGGAUACUACCCCUGCGUUAUG
RNAcentral lists this ribosomal RNA (1874 nucleotides) under Enterococcus faecium. Its description in RNAcentral is "partial 23S ribosomal RNA". It matches the Rfam family "Bacterial large subunit ribosomal RNA", at positions 332 to 2215 of the family's 2925-position model. The record is from RNAcentral. Lineage: Bacteria; Bacillati; Bacillota; Bacilli; Lactobacillales; Enterococcaceae.